Penaeus vannamei (Pacific white shrimp) is the source of this 2258-nucleotide non-coding RNA. The record is from RefSeq and is a predicted model, not a curated record. Lineage: Eukaryota; Metazoa; Arthropoda; Malacostraca; Decapoda; Penaeidae.
CUGAUUUUCAUUUUUAUUGUUAUUGCUGUUAUUUUUAUGUUUUAAUAUUCUUUACUUUGGUUAUCUGUUGGCACAUUUAACUGUUAAGAUUUCUGUGAUUAUUUUGGUUUUGGUAGGAUGUUGCUUGCUUGCAUUGCAUUGAUUGAUGUAUUUUAUUUCUUGCUGCUUUUGUUGUAACUAAUGUUAUCUCAGUGCACAGGUAUAGGUCUGUUAAAUAUUUUUUGCUUUAUCGACUCUUAAUGGAUGGAAAUGAAAAGAAUUGGUAAAGAAUCCUUAGAACAUGAUCGGAAAAGGGUGGUUUGAAAGGAAAUGGUGGAUUAAAUCAUAGUGAUAAGAGAUGCAAAAGUCAGGACAGUUAUGGAUAAAAGGGGUUUAAAACAAAAGCAAAGAGUUCCUGUUUGUACAUCAAGUCCUAUAUAUCGCGAACAGUGAAGUUCUGUCAGAUUUUCUUUUGUAGGCUUACUUUGUAAUGCUUUUUUCUUUGCAUUCAUUGAGGUGCAUUAGGAAAUUAUGAAAAUUAUUCUGUAUUAUUUGAUUUUGUUGAUACUGAAAAAUAGCUAUUAUUCUUGCUUGGGAUACUCUUAGUUUUUUUUUCUAGAUUCAAAUUGGUCAUUCUUAUAAAUAGUUUUGCUUAUGCUAUGUGACUUCUAAUAUAGAUACUUUGUAAAUUAGCUAAGUGAGCAUGAAAGUCUCUUAAUAUGGUUUGGUUCAGAAGGAUUAUUAUUUAGAAAUAUUACAUCUUGCAUAUCAUCCACUUCUGAACAUUUAUUUUCAAAAUAGUUGACAUGUGUCAUAUCUGCUCUAGUCUCUUAAAGAAACGGAUAUAGAUACAAGGAUGAAAUAUAUAGCAUAAUGAUAGGCAUGUUUGUAGAUAUCUCUUCCUCAAACGAAGCAGUUUGUUAUAAGAAAUUAGUGAUUCAGUUUUAGCAUCAGAUGACCUCACAGUUUUUAUGAAUGUACAAAGAUUUAUUUCCCAAAUGCACACUAAAGGGAAGAGGAGGAGAGUGAGGUUGAAGGAGGAAUGAGCUCAGAUGCUAGAGAUGACGAGGAGACAGAGUUAUGUCUGAGAAAGAUCUCAGAUGCUCGGUAAAGUAUACUUAAAAUUUCCUUGAAGAUUUUUUCUUUUAGAUUGUAGAUGUUAGUGAGUUUUUACGUUUGUUAUUGUUUUUUUAAUUUUCAUUACUUAGAAAAAUAAAUGUUUCAUUGCAUGAGCUAUGUAACUAGGUAGAUGAAUUAUUUUUUAAAAACAAUAUAUGAUGCAAAUGAUAUUAGGCAAAAAAAGAAAAAAAAAAAUAGUUCUUGACUUCAUUUUAAGAUAAUAUUUGAUGAAGGUUUGUCUUUUAUAUGCUUCCUAAGAGGUGAAAAGGGAAGGCAUAUAAAUCGCAGAAGAAGGUGUAAAGUUAGGUAAGGUAUGGUACACGGGCGCGGUUGAAAGGUCGGGAUAUUUUAAUACUCUGCUCAACUUCACAACAAGUUAUGCAACACCAGGAACAUUACUUUUCCACCACUACAAGAAUUUUGUUUUUGGUGCAUGUCUGUUGGUUUCAUACCUUGGACCACAAAAAUUGAACCCAUGUAAGAUUCAUAUGCGUUGGUAUAGAGAAGCCCUCCAUGAUGGAGGUUAAGACAAGAAUACCUUCACGAGAAUAAAGGUACUUGAGAAGAGCACAGUAAAUUCAUAGAUCUCAUAAAGAAAAGGGACUUGUUUUCAUGAGUUUAAAACAUAACUCAUACAUUCAUUUUAGUUUUAGAAUAGAUCUCUGUGCGUACUCCAUAUUUGACACCAGCACAGUUCCUGAGAUGUGUAUAUCACGUUAUGCAUAGAAGCACAUUUUCAUAACAUAUUCACCCGUCAUUUUAAAUGAAUGUUCUCAACACUAGCAAAAUUGUACAUUACUCUCAUGGUGCUGUAUCAAGCACAUUGGUUUAUGAAUCCUCGAGGUAAGCCACAGUGGAAACCAGGCAUCUUCGGCUGGGAACUUUUUGCAUGUCUAAACCUUGUAGUUGAAAGAAUUAUUAGAUUUUAUUUUCUAAACUUUAGAUCUGUGAGGUAGAUUUUAUUAGAGCAUUAUACAGAGAUUCAGACCAAGAUGGUAUUCAAAGUUUGGUAAACAAUUAUAAAUCUAGAAAGGUUAAUGGAUUUAUGUCUGUAAUUACACUUUCAUUGGCACUUGCCUAUCAGUUGCCAUAUAUCACAUUUUGUCAGUGUACUUGACAAAAAAAAAAAAAAAAAAAAAAAAAAAAAAAAAAAAAAAAAA